This 292-nucleotide ribosomal RNA is filed under the name uncultured bacterium. RNAcentral's name for it is "partial 16S ribosomal RNA". It matches the Rfam family "Bacterial small subunit ribosomal RNA", at positions 505 to 796 of the family's 1533-position model. The record is from RNAcentral.
GUGUCAGCCGCCGCGGUAAUACGUAGGGGGCAAGCGUUAUCCGGAUUUACUGGGUGUAAAGGGAGCGUAGACGGUUAUGUAAGUCAGAUGUGAAAGCCCAGGGCUCAACCCUGGGACUGCAUUUGAAACUAUGUAACUAGAGUGCAGGAGAGGUAAGUGGAAUUCCUAGUGUAGCGGUGAAAUGCGUAGAUAUUAGGAGGAACACCAGUGGCGAAGGCGGCUUACUGGACUGUAACUGACGUUGAGGCUCGAAAGCGUGGGGAGCAAACAGGAUUAGAUACCCGCGUAGUCC